Rhododendron vialii is the source of this 3351-nucleotide long non-coding RNA. RefSeq lists it as uncharacterized. The transcript has 2 exons. The record is from RefSeq and is a predicted model, not a curated record. Lineage: Eukaryota; Viridiplantae; Streptophyta; Magnoliopsida; Ericales; Ericaceae.
ACCUAACCUCUCUAUCUUAGAAACAUUAAGGGAUAAAUCUAUAUGGCGGCAAGUGAUGAUCUCUGAAACUAGGAUUAUCCAAUACAGCGGCAAGUCCAGUUUCAGUCCAUACAGAAUCUGGUUCUUCAUUUGUUGGCCUUGUCCUUGUUGAACUCAAAUCACUUGUUGUAGCUCUCUGGUUUUGUUGACUUCAAGCUCGUUGGCUACUCAGCCUUCAGUGAUGCUUUCUGUUGAGUUUGGCACAUUGGUUAUCUAGUAAUCUUCUAAGCAGCUUUGUGUUGAGUUUGGCAUAUAACCAAUGAUGGUUGUUCAGAUGCAAUCGGUGUGCUUCUUCCGGAUAUUUGAAAGAUGUUUCCAACGACGACUCAAGUAUACCACUAUGAUGGCACAUCCCUUAUUUUUCCAUACAUUUCUUUCAGUUGGAUUUGCAAGCAGGUUUCCAUAUCUUCCCUCGUGCCUGCCACCACGUACGCUAUCCCUAUGUGGCUGCCAAUUCAUAGUGCAUGCAAUUAAAAUCUAUACUAGUCAAUUUAGUUGUCUGGUUUCAAUCCAAAAAUUUUGGUUGACUUUGUUGAGUUUCUUUUCUUGAUGAUAUUGUUUUCAUUUUGGUUUGCAGUUCCUUGUGCUUCUUAAUGUCAGUUGCCGAGCGAUUGUUGGCCAUACUUGGAUUUUGAGUUUCGAGCUCUGCGGUCACCUGUUUUUGGGGAUUUAUACGACACUAUGACGUUCAAGUUUGUGGUAGUUUUCGUGUUUCAUUACCUAUAUGCCAGUUUUUUUCCCUCUAUAUUUCAUCUUCUACGUGUUUUGGUCCUUGUAAUUUUUUUUUGGGUCCUUGUUCUUUCAUUAAUCUUCAUCUCUUCCAUCUUUCAUCACAUUUCAACCUUUUUGUAAUUUGUUUUCUAGAAGUCAGUGUGGUGCUGACAAGGGGAUGUAUUUUGCAAUCACGGUGGACCACCAAAUUAAGUCACGAUAAGCAUGAUCUGAUUCUGAUUACAACAACAUUCUCUGGCGAUCAAUCAUUUUUAUUGAAGAAUCCAUUGCUUAAGGUUUAUGUUUGUUGGAAUGCCGUGAUCUCUGUCUCUGUAUUAGUAACUCUUGAGAUUUACUUUCAGAGAUAGACAUACCCUUGUCAAGUGCCGCGGGAAUGCCAACUUGGGCCGGACUGUUAUUUGGUCUUGUUUUAGACGGUUUAGUGUUGGUUUUUAUUUUUAUUUUUCUUUUGUCCAACAGAAAUUUACAAUAUUAAAAGCUAGCAAGGUCGUCGUUUGAGUUUGCUAUUUUUUCCUCAAGCUGUCACUCGUUAUUUGGUUCCCUUUUUGUCCUCUUCUUCUCUUGAACUCUUUAUUUCUUUUAAGUUUUGUUUCUGCUUUCCAAGUUAUGUUUCAUUUUGUGCUGGCUAUUAGGUAUUUGGUUUAUGGGCAGUUACAAGCUUAAUGUACUGAUUUUGUUAAUUGUAGUUGGUGUACAACAGCUCUUUACAUGAGAUUAAUCGGAGGGCAUCCUUUGGCACCCCUUUCCCCUAUUUCUCUUGCAUUUUAAUGCGUUCUCUUUUCCUUUAUUGAUUGCGUGAUUCCCUGCAGCAAUCUAAAUUUCAUUCAAGGAGGAAUCAAAUGUUGUCGGGCAGCCAAGGGUCUCUCUCCUCCUCUCCUUUUGCCGUUCCGUUUUUCUUUCCUCAUCCUUAUUCUGUGGGUAUGCGGUAUAUGUGUUCUAUCACAAAGCACAUCAUGAAGGCUGAAUUAGAGGGUAAAUUAUGCUAAGAAGUUGUUGAAGAGUCGUGCCCAUCUAGCAAAUAUCCCUAAUCACUUAUUUUUUCUGCUUGCUCCCAUCGGUGGCAUCAUAAUGUUGUCUUCCACUAUAGCAAAUCCCUAUAGGCAGUUCAGUUUUCUUUGACUUCUUGUGGUGCAGAUGCGUUCAUUAUAUUAUAUGUGCUGCUAAAAAGUGUGGAGUAAGCUGAACUUUUAACUGUAUUCCCUUAAAUCUCUGGAGUAAGGUGGUCUGGUGAUUUUUUUUAGGAGCAAGAUCAUCACUAACCGUGGUAUUAUUUACAUUAUAAUGUCUGCAUUUAUGUGGGUGUCAGUUAUUGUGGUGGUUCAUUCUGAGCUGCAACAUUGUUCCUGGUCGAUUCAUGUAAGCCUGGUUGAUCUGUGACAAGUGACGCACUUCUAUGUAGACUUCGAGACAUUGGUGACUGAAUGACAGUACUCUUUGGUUACUGAUUACCCUUUUUCAUAUUCUCUAUGUUCCGGGUAGUGCUACAAUUAUUGUUAAGUCUAUCCAUGCAUAGGUGAGGAUAAGUUGUUGAUCUGGAAUGUUGCAUUGGUUGUUUAAGAUGGGAUCCUGGACUGGUGAGAUUUCCAUAAAGUUUUCCUGUUGUGUUCCUUCUAUGUAGGUUUCUAUUGACGUUGACAAAUUGGUUGGCGCUGAUGGUUGCUUAGAUGUAGUUGGCAUCGAAGGGAUUGUUAGGCUGUGGGCUGGAAAUCGUGAUUCUUUUGGGGUAGGUUGCCGUGUACGUAUCUUUUAUGGUUGGUGUUCCUCUUUCGGUACAUUACCAGGUGCAAUAAAGCUAAGUUAGGGAAGGAAACUAUAUCCUAAUCUUGCCAUAUGAAAGAAAUAGACUGAGGGGAAGGUAUCAAUUUUUGCCAUUUUUGUUUGAUGGGGACACUGCUAACAGGAAGAUUUCUAUUGUAGUAUCUGUCAGCAACCUCUAUCGACUUUGUUAUAGUUCUCUUUGCAGCAACACUUCUUAUUUACCAGUGUACACUUUCAAGCAAAGUAUUUCAAGUAUCAGUGGCAGAAUUGGGAGUGUGACAGGGCCUAUGUGGUGUAUGUUCUAAUUUUGCGAAGGCCAAGUUCUACUUUUGUCUGACUUGUAGACUUGAUGCUAAGGUAUUCUUGCAUGUCUUCCUCUUGGUUGGGCUUUUUCUUAUAUAUUCUUGUAUCCUUGAUGGCCGAAAGUGGAAAAAUGCUACUAUAGCUUGUGAAGAAUCCAAUCUAUCCCAUGAUGAUUAGUAGCUGCUGCUGUGUAUGGACACCUGGGGACACAUAUAUGUAGAUGCAAUAUACGAGGUUUGGUCAUCUGUCUCCAAUGUUUAUUCUUUGCUAGGGGUCUGGGACCUUUUCCUUUGUUUUGGGCUCUUGUAUGCGAAGUAGGGUUCUGUUUCAUACUAUGUUCAUACAUUUUACUUCUCUAUCAAUAGGCAGAUAGGUCUCUUGUUUCAGUGCCUAGGAAGACCUAUAGGCCUGUAAUCAAGCUCUAACAGUUGUCGCUGCGGGAAAACUUGGUAGUUCUAUCGUGCAUCUUCUUUAUUUAUUCUCCAUUAUUAUUGGUAAUUUUUUAUCUCAUUCUAAAAA